UUGUUAGAUGCGAUGGGGGGACGGAUCGCGGAAGGUUGUCCGGGUGUUGGAAGUCCCGGUCGCUGCAUUGGAGAAGGCGCUUAGGCAAAUCCGGGCGCAGGAUUCAAGGGUGUGGCGCGAGCGACUUAGGUCGCGAAGCAAUUGGAAGUGGUUCCAAGAAAAGCCUCUAAGCUUCAGUCUAACGAUGACCGUACCGCAAACCGACACAGGUGGGCGAGAUGAGUAUUCUAAGGCGCUUGAGAGAACUCGGGAGAAGGAACUCGGCAAAUUGGUACCGUAACUUCGGGAUAAGGUACGCCCUGGUAGCUUGACUGGCCUGCGCCAGAAGGGUGAAGGGGUUGCAAUAAACUGGUGGCUGCGACUGUUUAAUAAAAACACAGCACUCUGCAAACACGAAAGUGGACGUAUAGGGUGUGACGCCUGCCCGGUGCCGGAAGAUUAAAUGAUGGGGUGCAAGCUCUUGAUUGAAGUCCCGGUAAACGGCGGCCGUAACUAUAACGGUCCUAAGGUAGCGAAAUUCCUUGUCGGGUAAGUUCCGACCUGCACGAAUGGCGUAACGAUGGCCACACUGUCUCCUCCCGAGACUCAGCGAAGUUGAAGUGUUUGUGAUGAUGCAAUCUACCCGCGGCUAGACGGAAAGACCCCAUGAACCUUUACUGUAGCUUUGCAUUGGACUUUGAACCGAUCUGUGUAGGAUAGGUGGGAGGCUAUGAAACCGGAACGCUAGUUUCGGUGGAGCCGUCCUUGAAAUACCACCCUGGUUUGUUUGAGGUUCUAACCUUGGCCCGUGAUCCGGGUCGGGGACAGUGCAUGGUAGGCAGUUUGACUGGGGCGGUCUCCUCCCAAAGCGUAACGGAGGAGUACGAAGGUACGCUAGGUACGGUCGGAAAUCGUGCUGAUAGUGCAAUGGCAUAAGCGUGCUUAACUGCGAGACCGACAAGUCGAGCAGGUGCGAAAGCAGGUCAUAGUGAUCCGGUGGUUCUGUAUGGAAGGGCCAUCGCUCAACGGAUAAAAGGUACUCUGGGGAUAACAGGCUGAUACCGCCCAAGAGUUCAUAUCGACGGCGGUGUUUGGCACCUCGAUGUCGGCUCAUCUCAUCCUGGGGCUGUAGCCGGUCCCAAGGGUAUGGCUGUUCGCCAUUUAAAGAGGUACGUGAGCUGGGUUUAAAACGUCGUGAGACAGUUUGGUCCCUAUCUGCCGUGGGCGUUGGAAGUUUGAAGGGGGCUGCUCCUAGUACGAGAGGACCGGAGUGGACGAACCUCUGGUGUACCGGUUGUGACGCCAGUCGCAUCGCCGGGUAGCUAUGUUCGGAAGAGAUAACCGCUGAAAGCAUCUAAGCGGGAAACUCUCCUUAAGAUGAGACUUCCCCGGGGACUUGAUCCCCUUGAAGGGUCGUUCGAGACCAGGACGUUGAUAGGUCGGGUGUGUAAGCGCAGUAAUGCGUUCAGCUAACCGAUACUAAUUGCCCGUACGGCUUGAUCCU
RNAcentral lists this ribosomal RNA (1483 nucleotides) under Burkholderia pseudomallei. Its description in RNAcentral is "bacterial LSU rRNA". It matches the Rfam family "Bacterial large subunit ribosomal RNA", at positions 1447 to 2925 of the family's 2925-position model. The record is from RNAcentral. Lineage: Bacteria; Pseudomonadati; Pseudomonadota; Betaproteobacteria; Burkholderiales; Burkholderiaceae.